This 304-nucleotide ribosomal RNA is filed under the name uncultured bacterium. RNAcentral describes it as "bacterial SSU rRNA". It matches the Rfam family "Bacterial small subunit ribosomal RNA", at positions 30 to 333 of the family's 1533-position model. The record is from RNAcentral.
AUUGAACGCUGGCGGCAUGCUUUACACAUGCAAGUCGAACGGCAGCACGGGGGCGAACCCUGGUGGCGAGUGGCGAACGGGUGAGUAAUGCAUCGGAACGUAUCCUUAAGUGGGGGAGUAACGCAUCGAAAGAUGCGCUAAUACCGCAUAAUCUCUGAGGAGAAAAGCAGGGGAUCGCAAGACCUUGCGCUUUUGGAGCGGCCGAUGUCUGANAGCUAGUUGGUGAGGUAAAGGCUUACCAAGGCUUCGAUCAGUAGCUGGUCUGAGAGGACGACCAGCCACACUGGGACUGAGACACGGCCCA